CGAUAGCGUAUAUUUAAGUUGUUGCGGUAAAAAAGCUCGUAGUUGGAUUUCUACCGAAGAUAGCCGGUCGGGUCUUCGACCUUGUAUCUGGUUUUGUCUUUGGUAUCCUCAUAGGGAACGUUUCUGCGCUUUAUUGCGUGGUGCGGUAUCUAUGACUUUUACUUUGAGGAAAUUAGAGUGUUCACGGCAGGCAAACGCCUUGAAUAUAUUAGCAUGGAAUAAUAACAUAGGAUCUUCGUCCUAUUUUGUUGGUUUCUAGGGCUAAGAUAAUGAUUAAUAGGGAUAAUUGGGGGCAUCUGUAUCAACGCGUCAGAGGUGGAAUUCUUGGAUUGCGUUGCGACAAACUACUGCGAAAGCAUUUGCCAAGGAUGUUUUCAUUGA
Molecule: ribosomal RNA, 381 nt
Filed under: uncultured eukaryote
Lineage: Eukaryota
Description: partial 18S ribosomal RNA
Rfam family: Eukaryotic small subunit ribosomal RNA
Source: RNAcentral